RNAcentral lists this ribosomal RNA (487 nucleotides) under uncultured bacterium. RNAcentral describes it as "bacterial SSU rRNA". It matches the Rfam family "Bacterial small subunit ribosomal RNA", at positions 26 to 507 of the family's 1533-position model. The record is from RNAcentral.
GAUCAGUCGGCUACGAGGACGAACGCUGGCGGCGUGCUUAACACAUGCAAGUCGAACGAUGAAAGCGGGAGCUUGCUCCUGCUGGAUUAGUGGCGAACGGGUGAGUAACACGUGAGCAAUCUGCCCCGAACUCUGGGAUAAGCGUUGGAAACGACGUCUAAUACCGGAUACGACGCGCGAAGGCAUCUUCUGCGCGUGGAAAGAAUUUCGGUUCGGGAUGAGCUCGCGGCCUAUCAGCUAGUUGGUGAGGUAAUGGCUCACCAAGGCGACGACGGGUAGCCGGCCUGAGAGGGUGACCGGCCACACUGGGACUGAGACACGGCCCAGACUCCUACGGGAGGCAGCAGUGGGGAAUAUUGCACAAUGGGCGCAAGCCUGAUGCAGCAACGCCGCGUGAGGGACGACGGCCUUCGGGUUGUAAACCUCUUUUAGUAGGGAAGAAGCGAAAGUGACGGUACCUGCAGAAAAAGCACCGGCUAACUACGUG